UACGGGGGGGGCAAGCGUUGUUCGGAAUUACUGGGCGUAAAGGGCUCGUAGGCGGCCAACUAAGUCAGACGUGAAAUCCCCCGGCUUAACCUGGGAACUGCGUCUGAUACUGGAAGGCUUGAGUAUGGGAGAGGGAUGUAGAAUUCCGGGUGUAGUGGUGAAAUGCGUAGAGAUCCGGAGGAAUACCAGUGGCGCAGGCGGCGCUCUGGGUCACACCUGACACUGAGAUACGAAGGCAUGGGGAGCGAACGGG
Molecule: ribosomal RNA, 253 nt
Filed under: uncultured bacterium
Lineage: Bacteria
Description: partial 16S ribosomal RNA
Rfam family: Bacterial small subunit ribosomal RNA
Source: RNAcentral